CUACGGGAGGCUCCAGUGGGGAAUAUUGCACAAUGGGCGCAAGCCUGAUGCAGCCAUGCCGCGUGUAUGAAGAAGGCCUUCGGGUUGUAAAGUACUUUCAGCGGGGAGGAAGGGAGUAAAGUUAAUACCUUUGCUCAUUGACGUUACCCGCAGAAGAAGCACCGGCUAACUCCGUGCCAGCAGCCGCGGUAAUACGGAGGGUGCAAGCGUUAAUCGGAAUUACUGGGCGUAAAGCGCACGCAGGCGGUUUGUUAAGUCAGAUGUGAAAUCCCCGGGCUCAACCUGGGAACUGCAUCUGAUACUGGCAAGCUUGAGUCUCGUAGAGGGGCGUAGAAUUCCAGGUGUAGCGGUGAAAUGCGUAGAGAUCUGGAGGAAUACCGGUGGCGAAGGCGGCCCCCUGGACGAAGACUGACGCUCAGGUGCGAAAGCGUGGGGAGCAAACUGGCUUAGAUACCCGAGUAGUC
This 464-nucleotide ribosomal RNA is filed under the name uncultured bacterium. Its description in RNAcentral is "partial 16S ribosomal RNA". It matches the Rfam family "Bacterial small subunit ribosomal RNA", at positions 339 to 795 of the family's 1533-position model. The record is from RNAcentral.